This 253-nucleotide ribosomal RNA is filed under the name uncultured bacterium. RNAcentral's name for it is "partial 16S ribosomal RNA". It matches the Rfam family "Bacterial small subunit ribosomal RNA", at positions 524 to 776 of the family's 1533-position model. The record is from RNAcentral.
UACGAAGGGGGCUAGCGUUGUUCGGAAUUACUGGGCGUAAAGCGCACGUAGGCGGAUACUUAAGUCAGGGGUGAAAUCCCAAGGCUCAACCUUGGAACUGCCUUUGAUACUGGGGAUCUCGAGUCCGGGAGAGGUGAGUGGAACUGCGAGUGUAGAGGUGAAAUUCGUAGAUAUUCGCAAGAACACCAGUGGCGAAGGCGGCUCACUGGCCCGGUACUGACGCUGAGGUGCGAAAGCGUGGGGAGCGAUCCGG